Molecule: long non-coding RNA, 1297 nt
Filed under: Trifolium pratense (red clover)
Lineage: Eukaryota; Viridiplantae; Streptophyta; Magnoliopsida; Fabales; Fabaceae
Description: long non-coding RNA (TPRA_LNC014003)
Source: RNAcentral
UUCUCUCUCAACAAACCAACCACAUGAGCAAGGCAAGUCAAACAUGAAGAUAAGACAAGAGCUUAUAGUUCACGGUUUAGUUUAAGGUAAAUGAAUAGUGUGGAGGGAUUUUGGUGAGAAGCAGGGCGCAUCAACAGGAAGUGAAAAAAUGAAUUAUGAAUUUUUUUAAUUAAUUAAUGCAAUUUACAAUUAUGACAUUUUAUUUUUAUUGAUUUUAAAAGUGGAAAAUGGAGGCAUUUUGUGUCCAAAUGUAAAGGUGAAUGAUGCUAUAUGUUGUUCAACACUUCCAACUAAUAUAUGCUUCCACGAUUCGUUACCAGUCAUUUAUUAUUAUUCAACCAGGCAGUGACGGAGCCAGAAAUUUUGCAAAGUGGGGGCACCAUUGAUACAAAUUUAUAGCACUAAAUGUAUAAAUUAUUUCAUUUUUGAGAGAAUAUAUAGAAAGGCUUAAUUACAUAUAUAUUUGAUCAUUUAGGUUUGUUUUAGGUUUCAAUUUGGUCCCUUAAGUUUAAAAAGUUUCAAGUUAGUCAUUUUAGUCAAAUUUUGGUUUAAAUCGUCCAUUUAGCUUACAAAUUUGUAUACGUGGACAACUUAGGAGGGUGUCACGUGGAAGUUUUAGACGAAAUUAACUCAAAAUUUAAUAAAAAGAACCAACUUAAGUUGAAAUAAGUAAUGCAUGGGAUUAAAUUGAAACUUUUANNNNNNNNNNNNNNNNNNNNNNNNNNNNNNNNNNNNNNNNCGUGUUUGAUUUCUGUUGUAGUGAGAAAGAAUGAGUGAGGGGUGUGGUUUGUGUGUUGAGUCAAAAUGAAUGAAACUUUGUAUUCGGUGAUAUAUUGAUCUGCCAAGCCAAAUAUUUACAUAUAUUGUCAUAUAUAGAAAAAUACUUCCUCAAAAGUUAGUGCAGGCAUGAGCCCCCACAUCCUUGUAUGUGGCUCCGUCCCUGCAACCAGGCUAUAAGUGAGUGUCUCACAGGGUUGGUUGGAUCAAUACAUUAUAUUAAGAAUAAUCACAUAAGUGAUUUUUGACACUAUAUUUUCAUCCAAAAUUUUAUAAGACAUUAGAGUUAUGAGUCCUCCCACUUAUAUAUUGUUUAACAUCAGCUCUUCCAACCAACAUCUAACUUAACUAUAACGCUUUAUAUAUCUCAAUAUGUUGAGAUAUAAAAGGAGAGAAUACAUGUUAUUGUAAAAAAAAAAGAGAAUACAUGUUAUGAUUACUUUCAACAAUGGUAACAUUUUUUAUUUAAAAGAGGAAAGUUAUUCUAAAAAUAAAAAAGGAAAGGGUAAAUUAAUCGUUA